ACGGGUUUAGCUCAGUUGGUAGAGCGAUGGUCUCCAAAACCAUAGGUCGAGAGUUCGAGCCUUUCAACCCGUG
RNAcentral lists this transfer RNA (73 nucleotides) under Dysgonamonadaceae bacterium. RNAcentral's name for it is "tRNA-Trp". It matches the Rfam family "tRNA". From Rfam's summary of the family: Transfer RNA (tRNA) molecules are approximately 80 nucleotides in length. Their secondary structure includes four short double-helical elements and three loops (D, anti-codon, and T loops). Lineage: Bacteria; Pseudomonadati; Bacteroidota; Bacteroidia; Bacteroidales; Dysgonomonadaceae. The record is from RNAcentral.